GCCCUUGUGACGAAACUGGCUUUCCGUGCUGGUCUUAGAAACCAGAUUUUGUGGGUUCGACUCCCACCAAGGGUA
This 75-nucleotide transfer RNA is filed under the name Calothrix sp. PCC 7507. RNAcentral describes it as "tRNA-Leu (TAG) (tRNA-Leu-TAG-3-1)". It matches the Rfam family "tRNA". From Rfam's summary of the family: Transfer RNA (tRNA) molecules are approximately 80 nucleotides in length. Their secondary structure includes four short double-helical elements and three loops (D, anti-codon, and T loops). Further hydrogen bonds mediate the characteristic L-shaped molecular structure. tRNAs have two regions of fundamental functional importance: the anti-codon, which is responsible for specific mRNA codon recognition, and the 3' end, to which the tRNAs corresponding amino acid is attached (by aminoacyl-tRNA synthetases). tRNAs cope with the degeneracy of the genetic code in two manners: having more than one tRNA (with a specific anti-codon) for a particular amino acid; and 'wobble' base-pairing, i.e. permitting non-standard base-pairing at the 3rd anti-codon position. The record is from Rfam by way of RNAcentral. Lineage: Bacteria; Bacillati; Cyanobacteriota; Cyanophyceae; Nostocales; Calotrichaceae.